This 396-nucleotide unclassified non-coding RNA is filed under the name Hevea brasiliensis (rubber tree). The record is from RNAcentral. Lineage: Eukaryota; Viridiplantae; Streptophyta; Magnoliopsida; Malpighiales; Euphorbiaceae.
UUUCGCCUUGGUCUGUGCGCCGGUUGCGACGUCGAACUUGGCGACUGCGUGAUACUUGUCGUCAGACGCUUCGGCGGGGGCGUAGCCCUUGCCCUUCUGUGUCACCACGUGAACCAGGAUUGGCCCGGUCGGCGCAUCGCGCACAUUGGUGAGCACCGGCAGCAGAUGGUCGAGGGUGUGGCCGGNUCGAUCGGCCCGACAUAGAAGAAGCCGAGUUCUUCAAACAGCGUGCCGCCGGUGACCAUGCCGCGCGCAUAUUCCUCGGCGCGCAGCGCGCGAUCCUCGAAGAACUUUGGAAGUUUGUGCGCCAGAUUCUUCAGCGCUUCGCGCGCCGACGCAUAGGUCUUUCCGGACAGCAGCCGCGCGAGAUAGGCCGACAUCGCGCCGACCGGCGGA